Molecule: long non-coding RNA, 369 nt
Organism: Folsomia candida
Lineage: Eukaryota; Metazoa; Arthropoda; Collembola; Entomobryomorpha; Isotomidae
Exons: 2
Source: RefSeq, a predicted model, not a curated record
CUCUUUUCCCACUCUGUUCCCACACACUACUUCAUGCAUAAUAAGUUGUACAAAGUUUCAAAUUGCAAACAAAAAUUUAUUUCAAAUCCAUUUGCACCAUUGGAAUACAAAUACAAACAUUAGGAUUAUCAAUACUAAACGCUAGACUUGAACUAACAAUGGGAUAAUAUUUCACCAAUUUUUUGGAAAUCAAAGUCCUGCAACUAACUAAGUUUUGUGAUAAAAUUUGAAUAACUUGAAUUAUUUCUCCUGUAGAAAGUAAAAAAUAGCAAUCACGUCGAUAAGACGAUACUAUAAUAUUAUCUUUAGUGUAUAUUUUUACUAUCAUUUUCUUGGUCAUAAAUUUAGAGUUAACGCAUUCUGACCUGA